GCGGAUGAAGCAAAUUUGAACAAGUCAGUGGAAUCAGAAUCCACCACGCGCGGGUUCAAUCCCCGUCGUUCGCC
Molecule: transfer RNA, 74 nt
Filed under: Klebsiella pneumoniae
Lineage: Bacteria; Pseudomonadati; Pseudomonadota; Gammaproteobacteria; Enterobacterales; Enterobacteriaceae
Description: tRNA-Leu
Rfam family: tRNA
About the family: Transfer RNA (tRNA) molecules are approximately 80 nucleotides in length. Their secondary structure includes four short double-helical elements and three loops (D, anti-codon, and T loops).
Source: RNAcentral